This 82-nucleotide transfer RNA is filed under the name Echinostoma caproni. It matches the Rfam family "tRNA". Rfam says of the family: Transfer RNA (tRNA) molecules are approximately 80 nucleotides in length. Their secondary structure includes four short double-helical elements and three loops (D, anti-codon, and T loops). Lineage: Eukaryota; Metazoa; Platyhelminthes; Trematoda; Plagiorchiida; Echinostomatidae. The record is from Rfam by way of RNAcentral.
GGCCUCGUAGCUCAGCUGGUAGAGCGUGCGCGUACAAAGCGUAGGCGGCGUCCAUGCGUGGGUUCGAAUCCCACGGAGGCUA